CUAAAUCAAAAUCCAAGAGCUUUCAGUGUUGUUCAGCCAUGAUAUGUGCACACAAGCAUAGCAGUUAAGGCCCUCACACUGCAUUGGAAAAGGCAGCUGAUGCAGAGGGCUGGAGAGCUUCUUCAGUGUUGCAGGGCAGCCAGGAAUAUGAGUUACACCCAGCUAACUCCUGUGCUCCAGAGGUAUGACAACAGCAAAUAAAUGAGAAGCGGAAGAGCAUUCACAAAGAAACACUGGCAGAGAUGGAAAUUCCAUGUAGUAAAAUUCCCUUUUGAAGGAAAUUCCACUGAACUGAAAAUCUGUCUCCAGGUAAAUUAAAUGGAGUCUAGCUGUAUAUUUCUUUAUACAUUAUAGAAGAUGAGUCAUUGGCAGUUUCAGUUAAGAUAGAUGAAUAAAGAUAAAUUCAAAAUUACUCAAAUAGACCAAAAUUCUUUGAACAAAUAAGUAUGGAUUGUAUGUUGUAUCCUUUAGUAUAAAUAAAAUCCGGUCUCUAACUUCA
This is a long non-coding RNA of Pseudopipra pipra, 499 nucleotides long. RefSeq lists it as uncharacterized. The transcript is spliced from 3 exons. Lineage: Eukaryota; Metazoa; Chordata; Aves; Passeriformes; Pipridae. The record is from RefSeq and is a predicted model, not a curated record.